This 465-nucleotide ribosomal RNA is filed under the name uncultured bacterium. RNAcentral's name for it is "partial 16S ribosomal RNA". It matches the Rfam family "Bacterial small subunit ribosomal RNA", at positions 28 to 507 of the family's 1533-position model. The record is from RNAcentral.
GACGAACGCUGGCGGCGUGCUUAACACAUGCAAGUCGAACGGAAAGGCCCUGCUUGCAGGGUACUCGAGUGGCGAACGGGUGAGUAACACGUGGGUGAUCUGCCCUGCACUUCGGGAUAAGCCUGGGAAACUGGGUCUAAUACCGGAUAGGAGCCAUUUUUAGUGUGAUGGUUGGAAAGUUUUUUCGGUGUAGGAUGAGCUCGCGGCCUAUCAGCUUGUUGGUGGGGUAAUGGCCUACCAAGGCGGCGACGGGUAGCCGGCCUGAGAGGGUGGACGGCCACAUUGGGACUGAGAUACGGCCCAGACUCCUACGGGAGGCAGCAGUGGGGAAUAUUGCACAAUGGGCGCAAGCCUGAUGCAGCGACGCCGCGUGGGGGAUGGCGGCCUUCGGGUUGUAAACUCCGUUCGCUAGGGACGAAGCUUUUUGUGACGGUACCUAGAUAAGAAGCACCGGCUAACUACGUG